GACGAACGCUGGCGGCGUGCUUAACACAUGCAAGUCGAGCGGUAAGGCCCUUUCGGGGUACGACGAGCGGCGAACGGGUAGGAGUAACACGUGGGUGGACCUCGCCCUCCAGCUCUGGGAGUAAGCCUCGGGAAACCGGGGUACUAAUACCGGAUAUGACUCCAUGACGCAUGUUGUGGGGUGGAAAGACCUUGUGCGGCUGAGGAUGGGCCCGGCGGCCUAUCAGCUUGUUGGUGGGGUGAUGGCCUACCAAGGCGACGACGGGUAGCCGGCCUGAGAGGGCGACCGGCCACACUGGGGACUGAGACACGGCCCAGACUCCUACGGGAGGCAGCAGUGGGGAAUCUUGCGCAAUGGGCGAAAGCCUGACGCAGCGACGCCGCGUGA
Molecule: ribosomal RNA, 387 nt
Filed under: uncultured bacterium
Lineage: Bacteria
Description: bacterial SSU rRNA
Rfam family: Bacterial small subunit ribosomal RNA
Source: RNAcentral